AUUGAACGCUGGCGGCAUGCUUUACACAUGCAAGUCGAGCGGCAGCGCGGGGGCAACCCUGGCGGCGAGCGGCGAACGGGUGAGUAAUGCAUCGGAAUGUAUCCUCGAGUGGGGGAUAACCCAGCGAAAGUUGGGCUAAUACCGCAUGAGCUCUGAGGAGGAAAGCGGGGGACCUGCGAGGGCCUCGCGCUGGAGGAGCGGCCGAUGUCCGAUUAGCUAGUUGGUGGGGUAAAGGCUUACCAAGGCGACGAUCGGUAGCUGGUCUGAGAGGAUGAUCAGCCACACUGGGACUGAGACACGGCCCAGACUCCUACGGGAGGCAGCAGUGGGGAAUUUUGGACAAUGGGGGCAACCCUGAUCCAGCCAUGCCGCGUGAGUGAAGAAGGCCUUCGGGUUGUAAAGCUCUUUCGGACGGAACGAAAUGGGCGGGACUAAUACUCCUGUCUGAUGACGGUACCGUAAGAAGAAGCACCGGCUAACUACGUG
Molecule: ribosomal RNA, 486 nt
Filed under: uncultured bacterium
Lineage: Bacteria
Description: partial 16S ribosomal RNA
Rfam family: Bacterial small subunit ribosomal RNA
Source: RNAcentral